UGAAGCGUGGGCAUUCGCCCCUCCACCACACCCCCGAAAGUCUACCCUCUGGCAUCCAGCUGCGGGGACACGUCCAGCUCCACCGUGACCCUGGGCUGCCUGGUCUCCAGCUAUAUGCCCGAGCCGGUGACCGUGACCUGGAACUCGGGUGCCCUGACCAGCGGCGUGCGCACCUUCCCAGCCGUCCUGCAGUCCUCCGGGCUCUACUCUCUCAGCAGCGUGGUGACCGUGCCGGCCAGCACCUCAGGAGCCCAGACCUUCAUCUGCAACGUAGCCCACCCGGCCAGCAGUACCAAGGUGGACAAGCCUGUCACUGCAAGGCCUCAGGUCCCGAAGACAACGCCAGGGUCACCUAUCCGUCCUGUAAGACCCACGACCAAGGAGCCCAAAGGUGAACAGGAACCCUGCCAGUGUCCCAAGUGCCCAGCCACAGAACCUCUGGGAGGACUGUCUGUCUUCAUCUUCCCCCCGAAACCCAAGGACACCCUUACAAUCUCUGGAACGCCUGAGGUCACGUGUGUGGUGGUGGACGUGGGCCAGGACGACCCCGAGGUGCAGUUCUCCUGGUUCAUGGACAACGUGGAGGUGCACACGGCCAGGACAACGCCGAGGGAGGAGCAGUUCAACAGCACCUUCCGCGUGGUCAGCGCCCUGCCCAUCCAGCACAAAGACUGGCUGCAGGGAAAGGAGUUCAAGUGCAAGGUCCACAACGAAGGCCUCCCGGCCCCCAUCAUAAGGACCAUCUCCAGGGCCAAAGGGCAGGCCCGGGAGCCGCAGGUGUACGUCCUGGCCCCACCCCGGGAAGAGCUCAGCAAAAGCACGCUCAGCGUCACCUGCCUCAUCACCGGUUUCUACCCAGAAGAGGUAGACGUGGAGUGGCAGAGAGAUGGGCAGCCUGAGUCGGAGGACAAAUACCACACAGCCCCACCCCAGCUGGACGCCGACGGCUCCUACUUCCUGUACAGCAGGCUCAGGGUGAACAAGAGCAGCUGGCAGGAAGGAGACACCUACACGUGUGCGGUGAUGCAUGAAGCUCUACGGAAUCACUACAAAGAGAAGUCCAUCUCUAAGUCUCCGGGUAAAUGAGCCACACGCCGCUGACCUAGUGAACGUUCCCUCAUCCACCCGCCCCUCCCCGCCAACCCCGAGCUCCAGGUCCAGCCCCCGCACCAGCAAGCCCUCCCCCAGCCCGCCCUCCCCGGGCUCCAGGUCCAGCCAGGACGCCCUAGCCCCUCCCUCUGUGCAUGCCUCCUGGGCCGCCAUGAAUAAAGCGCCCAGGCCGCCCUGGGACCCUGCAA
Molecule: non-coding RNA, 1298 nt
Organism: Capra hircus (goat)
Lineage: Eukaryota; Metazoa; Chordata; Mammalia; Artiodactyla; Bovidae
Source: the annotation of a RefSeq genome assembly